GAAAAUUUAUCAUCAAAUUAAUUUUUGAUGGAUCUUGAGUGCUGCUGUUAUAUAGCUCACUUUAAAUAUAUAAGUCUGCAAAAAUCCAGAUGUUGGAUUGACUUGGUGUAAUACAAUAAAUUUAUUUAUUUUUCAUCAAGGAAAGUAGCAAUAAAUACUUGCCAACAAAUGUUUAUUUUGACUCCUAAAACAGAGAAAACAAUUUU
Molecule: unclassified non-coding RNA, 206 nt
Filed under: Puccinia tanaceti
Lineage: Eukaryota; Fungi; Basidiomycota; Pucciniomycetes; Pucciniales; Pucciniaceae
Description: ITS2
Source: RNAcentral